UACGGGGGGGGCAAGCAUUGUUCGGAAUUACUGGGCGUAAAGGGCUCGUAGGUGGCCAAUUAAGUCAGACGUGAAAUCCCCAGGCUUAACCUGGGAACUGCGUCUGAUACUGGUUGGCUUGAAUUCGGGAGAGGGAUGCAGAAUUCCAGGUGUAGCGGUGAAAUGCGUAGAUAUCUGGAGGAAUACCGGUGGCGAAGGCGGCAUCCUGGACCGGCAUUGACGCUGAGGAGCGAAAGCCAGGGGAGCAAACGGG
This 253-nucleotide ribosomal RNA is filed under the name uncultured bacterium. RNAcentral describes it as "partial 16S ribosomal RNA". It matches the Rfam family "Bacterial small subunit ribosomal RNA", at positions 524 to 776 of the family's 1533-position model. The record is from RNAcentral.